RNAcentral lists this ribosomal RNA (627 nucleotides) under uncultured bacterium. Its description in RNAcentral is "bacterial SSU rRNA". It matches the Rfam family "Bacterial small subunit ribosomal RNA", at positions 53 to 689 of the family's 1533-position model. The record is from RNAcentral.
ACGGAGCGCCGGACACGGACUAUUUCGGUAGGUAGCGUGCGGAGGCUUAGUGGCGGACGGGUGAGUAACGCGUGGAUAACCUGCCGCAUACCGGGGGAUAACAGCUGGAAACAGCUGCUAAUACCGCAUAUGCCCGCAGUGCCGCAUGGCACAGCGGGGAAAACUCCGGUGGUAUGCGAUGGGUCCGCGUCUGAUUAGGCAGUUGGCGGGGUAACGGCCCACCAAACCGACGAUCAGUAGCCGGCCUGAGAGGGUGGACGGCCACACUGGGACUGAGACACGGCCCAGACUCCUGCGGGAGGCAGCAGUGGGGAAUAUUGCACAAUGGGGGAAACCCUGAUGCAGCGACGCCGCGUGAAGGAAGAAGUAUCUCCGCCCCCAAACUUCUAUCAGCAGGGAAGAAAACAGAAAAAACCUCCCUAAGAAGCCCCGGCGGGGGACGAACCAGCAGCCGCGGUAAUACGUAGGGGGCAAGCGUUAUCCGGAUUUACUGGGUGUAAAGGGGGCGCAGACGGCCAUGGCAAGCCCGGUGUGAAAGGCAGGGGCAUAACCCCGGGACUGCACUGGGAACUGUCAGGCUGGAGUGCCGGAGGGGUAAGCGGAAUUCCUGGUGUAGCGGUGAAAUGC